Molecule: ribosomal RNA, 995 nt
Filed under: uncultured bacterium
Lineage: Bacteria
Description: bacterial SSU rRNA
Rfam family: Bacterial small subunit ribosomal RNA
Source: RNAcentral
UGGGGGAUAUUGCACAAUGGGGGAAACCCUGAUGCAGCGACGCCGCGUGAGGGAAGACGGUCCUCUGGAUUGUAAACCUCUGUCUUCGGGGACGAAACGAGACGGUACCCGAGGAGGAAGCCACGGCUAACUACGUGCCAGCAGCCGCGGUAAUACGUAGGUGGCAAGCGUUGUCCGGAAUUACUGGGUGUAAAGGGAGCGUAGGCGGGCAGGCAAGUCAGGCGUGAAAUAUAUCGGCUCAACCGGUAUCGGCGCUUGAAACUGCAGGUCUUGAGUGAAGUAGAGGUUGGCGGAAUUCCUAGUGUAGCGGUGAAAUGCGUAGAUAUUAGGAAGAACACCAGUGGCGAAGGCGGCCAACUGGGCUUUUACUGACGCUGAGGCUCGAAAGUGUGGGGAGCAAACAGGAUUAGAUACCCUGGUAGUCCACACCGUAAACGAUGAUUACUAGGUGUUGGAGGAUUGACCCCUUCAGUGCCGCAGUUAACACAAUAAGUAAUCCACCUGGGGAGUACGACCGCAAGGUUGAAACUCAAAGGAAUUGACGGGGGCCCGCACAAGCAGUGGAGUAUGUGGUUUAAUUCGACGCAACGCGAAGAACCUUACCAAGUCUUGACAUCCUGCGACGGUGCUGGAAACAGUACUUUCCUUCGGGACGCAGAGACAGGUGGUGCAUGGUUGUCGUCAGCUCGUGUCGUGAGAUGUUGGGUUAAGUCCCGCAACGAGCGCAACCCUUAUGGUCAGUUACUACGCAAGAGGACUCUGGCCAGACUGCCGUUGACAAAACGGAGGAAGGUAGGGAUGACGUCAAAUCAUCAUGCCCUUUAUGACUUGGGCUACACACGUACUACAAUGGCUGUUAACAGAGGGAUGCAAAGCCGCGAGGUAGAGCGAACCCCUAAAAGCAGUCUUAGUUCGGAUUGUAGGCUGCAACCCGCCUACAUGAAGUCGGAAUUGCUAGUAAUCGCAGAUCAGCAUGCUGCGGUGAAUACGUUCCC